AGUGAACGCUGGCGGCAGGCCUAACACAUGCAAGUCGAACGGCAGCACAGUAAGAGCUGGCUCUUACGGGUGGCGAGUGGCGGACGGGUGAGGAAUACAUCGGAAUCUACUUUUACGUGGGGGGUAACGUAGGGAUACUUACGCUAAUACAGCAUAGGACCUACGGGUGAAAGCAGGAGCUCUUCGGACCUUGGGUGAUCGAAUGAGCCGAUGUCGGAUUAGCUAGUUGGCGGGGUAAAGGCCCACCAAGGCGACGAUCCGUAGCUGGGCUGACCGGACGAUCAGCCACACUGGAACUGAGACACGGUCCAGACUCCUACGGGAGGCAGCAGUGGGGAAUAUUGGACAAUGGGCGCAAGCCUGAUCCAGCCAUGCCGCGUGGGUGAAGAAGGCCUUCGGGUUGUAAAGCCCUUUUGUUGUGAAAGAAAAGCAGCAGGUGAAUACCACGCUGUGCUGACGGUACCCAAAGAAUAAGCACCGGCUAACUUCGUG
RNAcentral lists this ribosomal RNA (492 nucleotides) under uncultured bacterium. RNAcentral describes it as "partial 16S ribosomal RNA". It matches the Rfam family "Bacterial small subunit ribosomal RNA", at positions 29 to 507 of the family's 1533-position model. The record is from RNAcentral.